Molecule: ribosomal RNA, 465 nt
Filed under: uncultured bacterium
Lineage: Bacteria
Description: partial 16S ribosomal RNA
Rfam family: Bacterial small subunit ribosomal RNA
Source: RNAcentral
CCUACGGGCGGCAGCAGUGGGGAAUAUUGCGCAAUGGGCGAAAGCCUGACGCAGCGACGCCGCGUGAGGGAUGAAGGUCUUCGGAUCGUAAACCUCUGUCAGCAGGGAAGCACAGUCACUGUGCUAAUCAGCAGUGAAUUGACGGUACCUGCAAAGGAAGCACCGGCUAACUCCGUGCCAGCAGCCGCGGUAAUACGGAGGGUGCGAGCGUUAAUCGGAAUUACUGGGCGUAAAGCGCUCGUAGGAGGUAUGUCAAGUCAAGGGGGAAAUCCCCGCGCUCAACGUGGGAACUGCCUUUGAAACUGGGAAACUGGAGUGUGUGAGAGGAUAGUGGAAUUCCAGGUGUAGGAGUGAAAUCCGUAGAUAUCUGGAGGAACAUCAGUGGCGAAGGCGACUAUCUGGCACAUAACUGACGCUGAGGAGCGAAAGCGUGGGUAGCAAACAGGAUUAGAUACCCCUGUAGUC